This 404-nucleotide ribosomal RNA is filed under the name uncultured bacterium. Its description in RNAcentral is "bacterial SSU rRNA". It matches the Rfam family "Bacterial small subunit ribosomal RNA", at positions 9 to 415 of the family's 1533-position model. The record is from RNAcentral.
GAGUUUGAUCAUGGCUCAGAUUGAACGCUGGCGGCAGGCCUAACACAUGCAAGUCGGGCGGUAGAGAGAAGCUUGCUUCUCUUGAGAGCGGCGGACGGGUGAGUAAUGCCUAGGAAUCUGCCUGGUAGUGGGGGAUAACGCUCGGAAACGGACGCUAAUACCGCAUACGUCCUACGGGAGAAAGCAGGGGACCUUCGGGCCUUGCGCUAUCAGAUGAGCCUAGGUCGGAUUAGCUAGUUGGUGAGGUAAUGGCUCACCAAGGCGACGAUCCGUAACUGGUCUGAGAGGAUGAUCAGUCACACUGGAACUGAGACACGGUCCAGACUCCUACGGGAGGCAGCAGUGGGGAAUAUUGGACAAUGGGCGAAAGCCUGAUCCAGCCAUGCCGCGUGUGUGAAGAAGGU